GAAGUAAAAGUCGUAACAAGGUCUCCGUAGGUGAACCUGCGGAGGGAUCAUUACUGAGUGAGGGAGCAAUCCCGACCUCCAACCCUUUGUGAACGCAUCAUGUUGCUUCGGGGGCGACCCUGCCGCGCAAGCGGCAUUCCCCCCGGAGGUCAUUCAAACACUGCAUUCUCACGUCGGAGUAAAAAGUUAAUUUAAUAAAACUUUCAACAACGGAUCUCUUGGUUCAGGCAUCGAUGAAGAACGCAGCGAAAUGCGAUAAGUAAUGUGAAUUGCAGAAUUCAGUGAAUCAUCGAAUCUUUGAGCGCACAUUGCGCCCCCUGGUAUUCCGGGGGGCAUGCCUGUUCGAGCGUCAUUUCACCACUCAAGCCUCGCUUGGUAUUGGGCGUCGCGAGUCUCUCGCGCGCCUCAAAGUCUCCGGCUGAGCGGUUCGUCUCCCAGCGUUGUGGCAACUAUUCGCAGAGGAGUUCGAGUCGUCGCGGCCGUUAAAUCUUUCAAAGGUCGACCUCGGAUCAGGUAGGGAUACCCGCUGAACUUAAGCAUAUCAAUAAGCGGAGGA
This 556-nucleotide ribosomal RNA is filed under the name Ramularia collo-cygni. Its description in RNAcentral is "eukaryotic LSU rRNA". The stretch from base 199 to 352 matches the Rfam family "5.8S ribosomal RNA". The record is from RNAcentral. Lineage: Eukaryota; Fungi; Ascomycota; Dothideomycetes; Mycosphaerellales; Mycosphaerellaceae.